This 82-nucleotide transfer RNA is filed under the name Marinobacter similis. It matches the Rfam family "tRNA". Rfam says of the family: Transfer RNA (tRNA) molecules are approximately 80 nucleotides in length. The record is from Rfam by way of RNAcentral. Lineage: Bacteria; Pseudomonadati; Pseudomonadota; Gammaproteobacteria; Pseudomonadales; Marinobacteraceae.
GCGGGUGUGGCGGAACUGGUAGACGCGCCAGAUUUAGGUUCUGGUUCCGAGAGGAGUGGGGGUUCAAGUCCCUCCACCCGCA